GCUCUCUUAGCCCCACAUACCUCACAAGGUGUCUGUUGUGUGUGUGUGUGUUGGGGGGAGAGGUAAAGGAGAUUGUGACCACUCUGAGAUUCACAGUAUAGAGUGGGUUAUAAAUCCAAUAGCA
Molecule: small nucleolar RNA, 124 nt
Organism: Heteronotia binoei (common prickly gecko)
Lineage: Eukaryota; Metazoa; Chordata; Lepidosauria; Squamata; Gekkonidae
Product: small nucleolar RNA SNORA64/SNORA10 family
Exons: 1
Source: RefSeq, a predicted model, not a curated record